GAUGAACGCUGGCGGCGUGCCUAAUACAUGCAAGUCGAGCGGACGGACGAGAAUUGCUCUUCUCUUAUGUUAGCGACGGACGGGUGAGUAAUACGUAGCUAACCUAUCUAUAAGACUGACGUAAGUUCACGGACCCGGAGCCAGUAUCGGAUAAUAUUUUGAACCGCAUGGUUCAACAGUGAAAGACGUUCUUGCUGUCACUUAUAGAUGGAUCCGCGCUGCAUUAGCUAGUUGGUAAGGUAACGGCAUACCAAGGCUACGAUGCAUAGCCGACCUGAGAGGGUGAUCAGCCACACUGGAACUGAGACACGGUCCAGACUCCUACGGGAGGCAGCAGUAGGGAAUCUUGCGCAAUGGGCGAAAGCCUGACGCAGCAACGCCGCGUGAGUGAUGAAGGUCUUCGGAUCGUAAAGCUCUGUUAUUAGGGAAGAAGAGAAGUGUAAGUAUCUGUGCACAUCUUGACGGUACCUACAGAAAAAGCCCCGGCUAACUACGUG
Molecule: ribosomal RNA, 497 nt
Filed under: uncultured bacterium
Lineage: Bacteria
Description: partial 16S ribosomal RNA
Rfam family: Bacterial small subunit ribosomal RNA
Source: RNAcentral